This 107-nucleotide ribosomal RNA is filed under the name uncultured bacterium. RNAcentral describes it as "partial 16S ribosomal RNA". It matches the Rfam family "Bacterial small subunit ribosomal RNA", at positions 249 to 353 of the family's 1533-position model. The record is from RNAcentral.
UUGGUGAGGUAACGGCUCACCAAGGCGACGAUCAGUAGCCGGCUUGAGAGAGUGAACGGCCACAUUGGGACUGAGACACGGCCCAAACUCCUACGGGAGGCAGCAUG